UCUCUCUCUCUCUCUCUCUCUCCCUGUUCGACCUGACAUCAGCAUUUUCCGUCCGUUUGUUCGUUUCAGGAUUUUUUUCGUUUCAACUGAAACUGAAAGUUUCUCUUUGGACAAAUGAAGCUCUGAGAGGAAGGUCGUCACGAUGCAGCGUCCUCUCUGGUUCUUAUCGUCGUGUUUGUGGUUGCUCUGUGUGAAGGAGGUUUGGAUGGCGACCUUCAAGCUUGCUCUGAUUGGUCCAUGGUCAUGUGACCCCCUGUUCUCACGGGCGAUGCCGACGGCGGCGGCCAACCUGGCGUUGUCACGGUUACGGGGUGACAGCAGCCUGAGCAGAGGAUAUUGGUACGAUGUGAAACUAUUGGACGAGGAUUGCUCCGCCUCCAAAGCUCUGACAGAACUUGCAGAGAUGGAUGGUUAUGGCCACGCCUACAUCGGGCCUUUUAACCCCGCCCUCUGUCACGCCGCCUCCUUAUUAGCUCAGCACUGGGAGGCGGGACUUGCCUCUCCAGGCUGUCUGGAUGCCGAUUGGCCGAACCUGCCGCCCGUCCCUCCUCCCAGCAGAGUCCUGUUCGCCGUGCUGAGGUUUUUCCGCUGGGCUCACGUCGGCGUCGUCUCAGCUCCAUCCAGCCUGUGGGAGAACACCGGACAGGAAGUGGCCUCAGCGCUCCGGGCUAUGGGCCUGCCGAUCGGUCCGGUGGUUACCAUGGAAACAAAGAACAAGGGCGGAGCUCGGGAGGCGCUGAGAGCAAUCAGAGAGGCCGACGAGGUCAAAGUGGUGAUCAUGUGCAUGAGCUCCGUCCUGAUUGGUGGAGAGGAUCAGAGAGAGCUCCUAUUGGCUGCUCUGGACAUGGGAAUGGUUUCUGACGGUUACGUGUUUAUACCGUACGACGCCCUGCUGUACGCCAUGCCGUACCAGGAGACGGCGUUCCCUCAGCUAACCAACAGCACGCAGCUUCGUCACGCCUAUGGCUCCGUCCUGACCGUUACCAUGGCAUCUGACCAGAGUUUCUACGAAUCUUUUCGUGAGGCUCAGAUCAGCCGAGAGAUCCGCUCGUCUGUCGCUGCGACAGAGGUGUCUCCAGUCUUCGGGACCGUCUAUAACAUGGUGUACUUUGUGGCGAAGGCGGUGGAGGAGCGUCGUCAGGCGGGGGGCGGGCACUGGGUGACAGGUGACCAGCUCGUCCAAUCAGACGGAGGCUUUGAUUUCCAGGGCUUCAAUCAGGUGUUGUAUGGGGGUAGAGAGGGGCGUGGCCUGCAGGCCAGGUACGUGGUGUUGGACAGCGACGGCGACAGACUCGUGCCGACGCACUCGCUCGCUCCGACGCACACGGACGGGACGGUCGGAGGUCUGAGGCCACUGAGCCGCUCCUUCACCUUCCCCGGAGGAAAACCCCCCACAGCCAGCUUCUGUUGGUUCAGUCCAGAGGAGGCCUGCGGCGGGGGCGUGGACACACUGACCCUGUCCUCUGUCUUCCUGUUACUCUGCGCUGUGAUUGGAGCGUUUUUCUACUGGAUCAGGAAGUACCACAGAGCAGAGAACUUAACAAAACUGAUCCUGAGUCUGGACGACAUCGUUUUCAUCGACACUCAGGUCAGCAGGAAGAAACUGAACGAUGAAUCCAUCAUGAGGAGUUUGCUGGAAAUUAAAACUCCGUUCCGCUCAAUCGCUCGAAGCUACAUCCUGACGACACCUGAGAGCUCGAACAUAGGAAUACUGGAGGGCGACUGGGUUUGGCUGAAGAAGAUUCCUGUUGGGAUGACGAUGACGGCUGUCAAUCAAAACACCCAGAGUCUGUUCAGCCACCUGCGGGAGAUGAGACACGAGAACCUGAACCUGUACCUGGGACUGUUCCUGGACUCGGGGAUCUUCGCUCUGGUGGUCGAACACUGUCCCCGAGGGAGUCUGUCCGACCUGCUGUCCGACAGCAGCAUGAGGCUGGACUGGAUGUUCAAGUCGUCGCUGCUGAUGGAUCUGAUCAAGGGGAUGAAGUAUCUUCAUCUUCGAGGUCUGAGUCACGGUCGACUAAAGUCCACAAACUGUUUAGUCGAUGGACGUUUUGUUCUGAAAGUCACAGACUACGGACUUCCCAUGAUCCUUCACUCUCAGGGCCUCAGCCACUCUGACGAUCCUCAGGAGCUGCUGUGGACGGCUCCGGAGCUUUUGAGAAAUCCGGUCCGAGGAGGCUCGUUUGCUGGAGAUGUCUUCAGUUUCUCCAUCAUCAUACAGGAAGUGAUCUCACGAACUCUGCCGUACGCCAUGAUGGACAUGCCCGCCCACGAGAUUGUGGAGCGUCUGAAGCAGCCCCCCCCCCUCUGCAGACCGGUGGUUUCUGUGGACGAAGCUCCGGCCGAGUGUCUCAGUCUGAUGAACGAGUGUUGGAACGAAGACCCGAGUAAGAGGCCGAGCUUCGAUGACGUCUUCAAACAGUUCCGGGGAAUAAACCGAGGAAAGCGGGCGAACAUCAUCGACUCCAUGCUGCGGAUGUUGGAGCAGUACAGCUCCAACCUGGAGGAUCUGAUCAGAGAGAGAACCGACGAACUGGAGGUCGAGAGAAACAAGACGGAGAAGCUGAUUGGACAACUGCUGCCGAAGUCGGUGGCUCAGGCUCUGAAGAAAGGGAAACCAGUUCGACCUGAACAUUAUUCAGACUCGACUCUUUACUUCAGCGACAUCGUUGGAUUCACGACCAUCUCAGCUCUGAGUGAACCCAUCGAGGUGGUCGACCUGCUGAACGACCUGUACACCAUGUUUGACGCCAUCAUCGCCACUCACGACGUGUACAAGGUGGAAACCAUCGGCGACGCCUACAUGGUGGCUUCAGGCGUCCCCAACAGGAACGGGAACCGACACGCAGCCGAGGUGGCGAACAUGUCGCUGGACAUCCUGCACUCGAUCGGAGCGUUUAAGAUCAAACACAUGCCGGAGAUCAAAGUGAAGAUCCGCAUAGGACUACACACAGGUCCUGUGGUCGCAGGUGUGGUCGGUCUCACGAUGCCCAGGUAUUGUCUGUUCGGAGACACCGUUACCACGGCGUCACACAUGGAGGCCAGCGGACUGCCGUACAGGAUCCACAUCAGCCUGAGCACCGUGAAGGUCCUCACCAGUCUCAAACUGGGAUAUCACAUCGACACCAGGCAGACUCAGGUGAAGGGCUCAGAGGACACGUACUGGCUCACCGGGAGGGACGGGUUCACCAAACCUCUGCCUGUUCCUCCAGACCUCAGUGGGGGGGCCAGUAACCAUGGAAUCAGUCUGGACGAGAUCCCAGUGGAGAGACGACAGAAGUUCCUGGACAGACAGAAGAAGAUCAAGAAAUGAUGCCAACACACACACACUCACACUCACACACACACACACACACACACACACUCACACACACACUCACACUCACACACAUUCUACCUCGACUUUGUUUUAUUUUAUUAAUUCGUCUCAUUUUCAGCCAAAAAGCAGGAAACAGUUUGUAAGAUUCUUAAAUUGUGUGAAAUGUGAAUGAAGUUCUGAACUGACGUCGGUGACAUGAGAACAUUCAGCUCUGAUCAGUUUAACUUCAGUUCAUCAGGUUUAAAUUGAACUUCCUGCGUCUGAAACAGUGAAACAGUGAAACGAUGAAACAGUGAAACAGUGAUGAGGACAGUUUACAGUAAACCCACAGUCACAGUGUUAAAGGACAAAUGUCUUUUAAUCAACCUUGUUUCUCAUGAAUGUCUCCACCGUGUCUGUGUCGUCUUCUGUGGACACUUGGAGAAAUGAGGACAGGAAUGUAAACCUGAACACGUGUGUGUUGGACACAGAGUCAGCUGACCUGCUGAUCACAUGACUUUCCUGAGAUGACAACAUGACCACAGACAGACAGAGCUUCAUUCAUUCAUCCAUUCACU
Molecule: RNA transcript, 3879 nt
Organism: Toxotes jaculatrix (banded archerfish)
Lineage: Eukaryota; Metazoa; Chordata; Actinopteri; Toxotidae
Gene name: retinal guanylyl cyclase 2-like
Exons: 25
Source: RefSeq, a predicted model, not a curated record